Molecule: long non-coding RNA, 1023 nt
Organism: Carassius gibelio (silver crucian carp)
Lineage: Eukaryota; Metazoa; Chordata; Actinopteri; Cypriniformes; Cyprinidae
Exons: 2
Source: RefSeq, a predicted model, not a curated record
AUGAAGCCGACACACUCUUAUAGCAAUCUACAACUAUUUUAUGCUUUUGGGAAAAUGGUGGCUAAUUCAGAUGAUGUAAAAUCUACGGACCUAAGAGGAAGAGCGUUGGAGGACAGCCAUUUUCCAGCCAUUCAGAGAUGGUUCUGUCCUGAUGGGCUGGACACACUGAAGAGUGAACAAUGAUUACAAUAACUGAAGGAGAUCAAAUGAAGUGGCUUUUUAAUUGCAGGAGAGAGGCCAUUAGUGACGCGCCCACGCGGAACCAGCUCUGCUCAGCCAGCGCUACCACAUUCCACUGCAAAUAAACCUAUAUAAAUAAUUAAACAUAAAAAAGCCAAGAAAGACAAUAAAAACAGCAGGGAGAUUCACUCACAGUCCGUAGACGUGAUAAUUACAGAAAAGGGCAAGAUAAAAUGUGGGGACAACAAGACAUGCAAUGGGGUCAGAAGACUAAACAAUGAGCAAGGAGGGUAAACAAAAUGUUCCUGAAGAGUUUACUCUGGUGUCAUCUCCUGUAGGUGUCAACUCUGACAUAUGUGGCAUUUUCCAAAGUUUCCCUUUGUUUACUCUUCAAAGCCUUGCUAAGCUUACAGUUUCACCGAUUCCUUAUUUAUUCUCUCUUUCUUAUGAUAUAAAAUGAGCAUCUUGUGAUCUUUAUUUCCUGAUGUUCUGUAAAUCUAAAAAAUGUGGUGUAAAGACUGCAGCAGUACUGUAAUGGGGGAUAUGCAGUGCCAUCUGUGCUAUGCUUUUGAAGGUCAUUAGCGGGUCCACAUGGAAUCUGUGCACAGAAAACUGCAGAAUUUCACAGAAUUGGAACAUUUGUCUUUCACGAAGAUCUACCACAUGUUUGUUUACUGAAAUGCUUUCAGCUACCGAUAAGAGAUCUAUGCAGAAACUGAAAGAGAAAGAGAGAGAGAGAGAUUCUAUCUGGUUCAGUUUCAGUCAUCACACAUGAAAAAGUUCAAUGAUGUAAAUUACUGCACACAUUUAAAAUAAAAUCCUUGCCUGUGUUGUAUUGUUAAA